This 400-nucleotide ribosomal RNA is filed under the name uncultured bacterium. Its description in RNAcentral is "bacterial SSU rRNA". It matches the Rfam family "Bacterial small subunit ribosomal RNA", at positions 355 to 753 of the family's 1533-position model. The record is from RNAcentral.
UAGGGAAUAUUGGACAAUGGGUGAGAGCCUGAUCCAGCCAUGCCGCGUGCAGGAAGAAGGCCUUCUGGGUUGUAAACUGCUUUUAUCUGGGGAUAAAAAGGCCUUGCGAGGCAAACUGAAGGUACCAGAUGAAUAAGCCACGGCUAACUACGUGCCAGCAGCCGCGGUAAUACGUAGGUGGCAAGCGUUGUCCGGAUUUAUUGGGUUUAAAGGGUGCGUAGGCGGUUUAUUAAGUCAGUGGUGAAAGACGAUAGCUUAACUAUCGAGGUGCCAUUGAUACUGAUGAACUUGAGUGCACACGAGGUAAGCGGAAUGGACGGUGUAGCGGUGAAAUGCAUAGAUAUCGUCCAGAACACCGAUAGUGAAGACAGCUUACCAGAGUGCAACUGACGCUGAGGCA